AAUCAACGCUGGCGGCGUGCCUCCGACAUGCAAGUCGAACGAUUAAAGCUCUCUUCGGAGAGUGUAUAGAGUGGCGCACGGGUGAGUAACACGUAAGUAAUCUACCUUUGAGUGGGGAAUAACAGUCGGAAACGGCUGCUAAUACCGCAUAACGCAGCGGCACCGCAAGGUGACAGUUGUUAAAGGAGCAAUCCGCUUAAAGAGGAGCUUGCGGCAGAUUAGCUUGUUGGUAAGGUAACGGCUUACCAAGGCUACGAUCUGUAUCCGGUCUAAGAGGACGGUCGGACACACUGACACUGAAUAACGGGUCAGACUCCUACGGGAGGCAGCAGUCGGGAAUUUUGGGCAAUGGGCGAAAGCCUGACCCAGCAACGCCGCGUGAAGGAUGAAGUAUUUCGGUAUGUAAACUUCGAAAGAAUAGGAAGAAUAAAUGACGGUACUAUUUAUAAGCUCCGGCUAACUACGUG
RNAcentral lists this ribosomal RNA (467 nucleotides) under uncultured bacterium. RNAcentral's name for it is "bacterial SSU rRNA". It matches the Rfam family "Bacterial small subunit ribosomal RNA", at positions 32 to 507 of the family's 1533-position model. The record is from RNAcentral.